AGGACGAACGCUGGCGGCGUGCUUAACACAUGCAAGUCGAGCGAGGCCCACCUUUCGGGGUGGUGUCCUAGCGGCGAACGGGUGAGUAACACGUGGGCAACCUGCCCUCAGCUCUGGGAUAACUCCAAGAAAUUGGGGCUAAUACCGGAUAUGACUGCUGACCGCAUGGUCUGGUGGUGGAAAGAUUUAUCGGCUGGGGAUGGGCCCGCGGCCUAUCAGCUUGUUGGUGGGGUAGUGGCCUACCAAGGCGACGACGGGUAGCCGGCCUGAGAGGGUGACCGGCCACACUGGGACUGAGACACGGCCCAGACUCCUACGGGAGGCAGCAGUGGGAAUAUUGCGCAAUGGGCGAAAGCCUGACGCAGCGACGCCGCGUGGGAUGGACGGCCUUCGGGUUGUAACCUCUUUCAGCGAGGACGAAGCGAAAGUGACGUACUGCAGAAGAAGCACCGCCAACGUACGUGCCAGCAGCCGAC
This 476-nucleotide ribosomal RNA is filed under the name uncultured soil bacterium. RNAcentral's name for it is "bacterial SSU rRNA". It matches the Rfam family "Bacterial small subunit ribosomal RNA", at positions 26 to 518 of the family's 1533-position model. The record is from RNAcentral.